UACACUCCUGCGGGAGGCAGCAGUGGGGAAUAUUGGACAAUGGGCGAAAGCCUGAUCCAGCAAUGCCGCGUGAGUGAUGAAGGCCUUAGGGUUGUAAAGCUCUUUUACCCGGGAUGAUAAUGACAGUACCGGGAGAAUAAGCCCCGGCUAACUCCGUGCCAGCAGCCGCGGUAAUACGGAGGGGGCUAGCGUUGUUCGGAAUUACUGGGCGUAAAGCGCGCGUAGGCGGCUUUGUAAGUUAGAGGUGAAAGCCCGGAGCUCAACUUCGGAAUUGCCUUUAAGACUGCAUCGCUAGAAUCGUGGAGAGGUGAGUGGAAUUCCGAGUGUAGAGGUGAAAUUCGUAGAUAUUCGGAAGAACACCAGUGGCGAAGGCGACUCACUGGACACGUAUUGACGCUGAGGUGCGAAAGCGUGGGGAGCAAACAGGAUUAGAAACCCCUGUAGUCCC
Molecule: ribosomal RNA, 448 nt
Filed under: uncultured organism
Description: partial 16S ribosomal RNA
Rfam family: Bacterial small subunit ribosomal RNA
Source: RNAcentral